GACUCAAUGGUUUGAUGGUAAAACGCCCAUCACGAACCCAGGAGGUCCUAGGUUUGAUCCCCGAUGGGGUCU
Molecule: transfer RNA, 72 nt
Filed under: Schistosoma japonicum
Lineage: Eukaryota; Metazoa; Platyhelminthes; Trematoda; Strigeidida; Schistosomatidae
Description: tRNA-Ser
Source: RNAcentral